This 493-nucleotide ribosomal RNA is filed under the name uncultured bacterium. RNAcentral describes it as "bacterial SSU rRNA". It matches the Rfam family "Bacterial small subunit ribosomal RNA", at positions 903 to 1397 of the family's 1533-position model. The record is from RNAcentral.
AAAUGAAUAGACGGGGGCCCGCACAAGCGGAGGAACAUGUGGUUUAAUUCGAUGAUACGCGAGGAACCUUACCUGGGCUUAAAUUGCAACUGACAGGACCCGAAACGGUCCCUUCUUCGGACAGUUGUGAAGGUGCUGCAUGGUUGUCGUCAGCUCGUGCCGUGAGGUGUCGGCUUAAGUGCCAUAACGAGCGCAACCCCUAUUGCUAGUUACUAACAGGUCAUGCUGAGGACUCUAGCGAGACUGCCGUCGUAAGAUGAGAGGAAGGUGGGGAUGACGUCAAAUCAGCACGGCCCUUACGUCCAGGGCGACACACGUGUUACAAUGGGUAAGACAGAGGGCAGCUACCUGGUGACAGGAUGCUAAUCCCAUAAACUUACUCUCAGUUCGGAUCGAAGUCUGCAACUCGACUUCGUGAAGCUGGAUUCGCUAGUAAUCGCGCAUCAGCCAUGGCGCGGUGAAUACGUUCCCGGGCCUUGUACACACCGCCCGU